This is a long non-coding RNA of Daphnia pulicaria, 1203 nucleotides long. RefSeq lists it as uncharacterized. The record is from RefSeq and is a predicted model, not a curated record. The transcript has 3 exons. Lineage: Eukaryota; Metazoa; Arthropoda; Branchiopoda; Diplostraca; Daphniidae.
AAUAUCUGGUCUGAGAAAAUUCCUAUCAAUGGCACUGACUUAAAAAAACUUCUAGGUUGUGUGAAUUUCACUUUAAAGAAGAAGACAUCGUAAAAGAAGAUAAAUUUAUCAUUGAUGGACAAGUGAAAUGUAUUCCACGACAAAAUUGGACAUUAAAAAAGGAUGCUUAUCCACAGAUUUUCCCAUUCACAGAUACAGUGCAGAGAAAACCACCAGCUGAAAGAAAGCCACUCAACGACACAACCAAUACUUACAAGGGACUAACCCCUUCCAGAUCAAGAACGAGUAAAGAAAAAUUAAGAAAUGAAGCUGGCUUCAAACCAACCAAGAAAGUGGUAACACACAUACAAGAAAUGAUUCCCAAAGAACCAAAUGAAGAAGCAGUUGAUGUAGACCCAUCUUUUGAAGCUAUUACUUGUCGUGCUGUAGAAGAGAAUCCCCCACUCAUACAGCAGGAAAUUGAUAGCAUUAUUCUACCAUCAUCAUCUUGGAGAAGAGGAGAUUUUUCUGUCGAAGGUUGUAUUAAUUAUUUUGAAAUCCAAGAAAAAGAAAAAAGUGUUGCUAUACAAAAAAUAGCAUCUGUUGAUUUUAAAAAACGGACAUUCUCGCACACUAUACUCAAUCGUGACAUCACCGAAAUUGAGGGGAAAAACGGCGGUACUUUCACGUCAGUGGCAGAAGUAGAAGACAUGCUAAGAAAACUACAUGAAGCAAGAAUCUGCCCAGGAAUAGUAAACAAUCCUGAAAAGUAUCCCCAACAAAAUUCUGGAUUGGUUCGUAAUGGGAAAUUGGUUGAUGGAAUUUGGAGAGCUUAUAAGUAGGUUAAUUCCUUGUUCAUAUCAAUAACUAUAAACUCAUAAUUUUUUAAAUUUCACUGUUGUAGUCUUCUUCUAUCUGAUACUGACACAACCAACAAAUGCACCUGUUGCAAAUUUCUACAUAAGGCUUUGCAGAUGCAAAUGAAAAGGAUGAAGACGCUGAAGAUGCAUACAAAAGUUAAUCACAAGUAUUUAACCAUGAAGCAGCUGUCCCACAAAGUAGCUGCUAAAGCCGAAAAUGAAGCAAGGCGAAAAUAUAUACUGAAAAAGAAAAAAGAAGAGAUAGCAGCACUGAAAGCAGAGAUAAAAGACAUGCGCAUGCAGGUUGCAACAUUGAAGAACGACGAAAUAAAUGUUAUAUUAGACAAGAUUAAUGAUGAAAAGG